Long non-coding RNA from Chelonia mydas (Green sea turtle), 2577 nucleotides. RefSeq lists it as uncharacterized. NCBI's taxonomy places the organism in Eukaryota, Metazoa, Chordata, Testudines, Cheloniidae. The record is from RefSeq and is a predicted model, not a curated record. The transcript has 3 exons.
CUGACCUGCAAGUGUGUACCAGGACAUAGUGUGUUAGAAAGUGUGAACUGACACCCAAGUUGCAGAUUUGCAAAUUUCAGUGUCUGGCAUGUUUUUCAACAGCACCUUGGAGGUAGAUUGAGAUAUGGUAGAGUGGGCAGUUACUCCAGAAGUAGGCUGAACAUUAGCAGUCUUGUAACAACUUAGAAUACACCCGGAACCCCAUUUUGAAAGUUUUGCAAGGAAAUUGAAGAUCCUUUCGAUCUGUCCAUGGAGGAAAACAUAAAAUCUCAUUUUCUAAAUGGUCUCCUUCUAUCUGGAUUGAAGACUAGCAUUCUUCUCACACCCAAAGCAUGAAGAGCAGAUUAUUCCCUGGAUUGGUGUGGGUUAGGGGAAAACAGCAGGAAAAUGUAUGACCCAGUUAAUGUAGAAAUCAGAUGAUAUUUUACAUAGAAAUUUGUGAUGUGGUUGUAACAAUACCUUUUUCUUUAAAAAGUCUGUAAAGAGGAGAUCUGCCAUUAACACCUCUAAUUCUCCAACCAUUUUGGCAGAAGUGAUGGCCAUCAAGAAUGCCAUUUUCAUAGGUGAAUGGAAGGCUGAGAUUGCUGCCAGAUGAACUUCGACAAUUUAUAAAGGUCUUGUCCUCUUAAUUACAACAGGCAAUCAAGAACAGGAAACCUCUAUCUCCAACAAACAUUGAGGAGCAAAGCUCUGAACUGAAGAAAGCCCAGGUUGGGAUGGAGAAUCUGGCCAGACUACAGGAUAACAGAUGGCAAGCAGCUGGGAAUAAUAAUGGCAAGAGCAAAGCAUGACGAAUCAGGUAAGGAUACCAUACUUGUCUUGGCCAAGUUGGUGCAUUUAGAAAGACUGCAGUUUUAUCCUGCUUGAUCUUGUUCAAUACCUUCAAGAGCAGUGUCAUCAGAAGACAUGCAUAGAGGUGGCCAAGAAGUGAGAAUGAUAUUGAUGACCCAAAGCCCUUCUAGAGCAGAAUUUCCUGCACUUUCUGCUAACAGCUAUUACAAAGAAGUCCACGUCUGGGAACUUCCAGGUUAGGAAACUAUGCUGGAGAGUCCAAGAUUGGAGUUCCCACUUGGAAUCCAAACAUGCAGGCAACACUCUCUAUCAUGACUUCAACAGAUUCUUUCUUGAUGAAGGAAAGAAACUGUAUGCAGAUACUGCUCACUGCUCUUACUUCCAGAAGGUUGAUGUGGAGGAGAGAUUUUUGGGCAAACCAUUUGCCCUGAGUAGUGUGUAUGCCUAGAUAUGCUCUCCCCCCGAAAGGAUACAUCUGAAGUUAUGGUGACAGCAGGAGGAACUGGGUGAAGGGGAGUUCUGUACAUACUCUGGAGGGGUCCUUCCACCAAUUGAGCAACUCCAAUACUCAAAGAUGAAUAGAUGCCAUUGUGAUGGUUCUCAGGGUAUCCUGAGAGUCACCUUGUUACCCACUGCCCGCCACCCACAUCAUGAGGGAGAUUUGCUUGUGCUUAAUUGGGUUUCAGCUCCCUGACACCACCAACCUGUGAGCCACCCAAGCAUUCUCCUAUGGGCAACACUAGCCCUUGCUUUGCUUUGCAGGUGAACAAUAGGUGCACCCCAGUCCCCAAGUCCCUUUGAAGUGUUCCCCUGUGAUAGCCUGCCUCUGAUAUUGACUACCCAUAGAAUUAACAAGUUAGCUGUCCCCAAGGGACUAGAGUACACACUAGAUUGUAUGAUUCAACUCAGGAUCAGCAUCUUGCUUAACAUCACAGCACUUACAUAUAGUGAAAAGGAUAAGAUGAUUACCAAAAAUUCAAGACAUAGUGAGUCAGGAUGAUGGAAACAAAAAGUUAAUCAUAACAUGCUUUCUAGAGCUGAAACUUAACUAUUAGGUUAAUCUCCUGUCUUAUAAAGUUUCUCCCAAAGCCUUUUGCAGCAUCUUCAGCCAAGGCUGGUUGUGAUUGCCCAUUUUCUUCCUAGGCCCAGGAUAAAGUGAUGUUUUCUUUGCCUUCUAUUUAUAUCCUCAAAGGUAUCUGUCAGUUCUUAAAGUCAGGAUAACCACCCAUGGCUUAUUUUUUCCUGUCUACUGCUUUCCUGUUGAUUUCACAUCUCUUUGACUUCAUGUGUAAAUGGAUAUCCAUUGUGUUAGCUUACAAUGCUUAAUUUACUUCUCCCCAGGGAGACAGGUGAAUAAACACCUCAUAUGAUAGAAAACCAUGGAUUUUGUGAACCAUGUCUUGAUACAGACUUUAAAAACACAUUUUCAGCGUAUAUACACAUAACUACUUACAUAGUACCUGCACCUACAUUUCAUAACGUUAUUAAGGAUCAGUGCAACCCCAGCUUUCUCUUCAGACCUCACAUGACGUUCCCUGGUAAACCAGAGUGCACAUACCAGAAUCAAGAUAGUCUUGUAGCCCCCCUUCCCAGCUGGCAUUAAGGAUUCUUGGGUUAAAGACAUCUUGUCUAAACUGUUUGUAUGGCCUCUCUCAGCUUGUAUGGCAACUUCCAACUUAUUUGUGUGUAUUAUAAAUCUUCUUACUGUAUGUUCCAUUCAUCUGAUGAAGUGGGCUGAAGCCCACGAAAGCUUAUGCUCUAAUAAAUUUGUUAGUCUCUAAGGUG